This is an RNA transcript of Nycticebus coucang (slow loris), 2756 nucleotides long. It is a transcript of the gene named probable ATP-dependent RNA helicase DHX40, with no coding region annotated. The transcript has 4 exons. NCBI's taxonomy places the organism in Eukaryota, Metazoa, Chordata, Mammalia, Primates, Lorisidae. The record is from RefSeq and is a predicted model, not a curated record.
UUUCAGGAACCAGCAGUUUAGCGUAGAAAUUAAAAUUUCUAUUAACAUGAUUUCUCUCGACAAACUGCUUUCUGUUUUUCAGCAAGAGUGAGUCCCGAGGAGACAGGCCACAGAUCGGUGGACGUGCUCACCUCCACUUGGGGCCAGGUCUAUGUCCCAGUUUCCUGCCGUCGCAGGCAGGGUGCCAAGGCGGCAAGAGGAAGGUGAGCGGUCAAGAGACCUUCAGGAAGAGCGGCCCUUGGCUGUUUCCAUCGCUGAUAGAGAAGAGAAAGGAUGCACAUCACAAGAGGGAGGAACUACUCCAACUUUUCCUAUUCAGAAACAAAGAAAAAGCUUAUUCAAGCUGUGAGGGACAAUUCAUUCCUUAUUGUUACUGGAAAUACAGAAAGUGGUAAAACAACUCAACUCCCAAAAUAUCUAUAUGAAGCAGGGUUUUCACAACAUGGUAUGAUUGGUGUGACUCAGCCACGAAAAGUAGCUGCCAUAUCAGUUGCUCAGAGGGUGGCUGAAGAAAUGAAAUGCACUUUGGGAUCCAAAGUAGGAUACCAAGUUCAUUUUGAUGAUUGCAGCUCUAAGGAGAUAGCAAUCAAAUACAUGACUGAUGGAUGUUUACUGAAACAUAUUCUGGGAGAUCCAAAUCUUAGCAAAUUCAGUGUCAUUAUUUUGGAUGAAGCCCAUGAGAGAACUCUAACUACAGAUAUCUUAUUUGGUUUAUUGAAGAAGUUAUUUCAGGAGAAGUCUCCUAACAGGAAAGAACAUUUAAAGGUGGUGGUAAUGUCAGCAACUAUAGAAUUAGCCAAGCUGUCUGCAUUCUUUGGAAAUUGUCCAAUAUUUGAUAUACCUGGAAGGCUUUAUCCAGUGAGAGAGAAAUUCUGCAAUUUGGCCCACAAGACAGAGAAAAUACUGCAUAUAUUCAAGCGAUUGUGAAAAUGACCAUGGAUAUCCUUUUGAAUGAAAUGGCUGGAGAUAUCUUGGUUUUCCUAACUGGCCAGUUUGAAAUCGAAAAAAGUUGUGAAUUACUUUUUCAGAUGGCAUAGUCCGUUGAUUAUGAUUAUGAUGUUCAAGAUACCACGCUAGAUGGCUUGUUAAUAUUGCCAUGUUAUGGAUCUAUGACAACAGAUCAACAGAGGAGAAUAUUUUUGCCACCUCCACCUGGAAUAAGAAAAUGUGUCAUAUCCACCAAUAUUUCUGCAACUUCUUUGACAAUAGAUGGAAUUAGAUACGUGGUAGAUGGUGGCUUUGUGAAGCAGUUAAAUCACAACCCCAGAUUAGGACUGGACAUCCUGGUGGUGGUUCCAAUUUCAAAGAGUGAGGCAUUACAGCGAAGUGGCUGGGCUGGCAGGACUUCCUCAGGAAAAUGCUUUAGGAUCUAUAGUAAAGAUUUUUGGAACUAGUGUAUGCCUGACCAUGUGAUCCCUGAGAUUAAGAGGACUAGUUUGACAUCUGUAGUUCUGACCUUAAAGUGCCUUGCCAUACACGAUGUCAUAAGAGAAUUGUUUCCCUAUUUGGAUCCACCUAAUGAGAGACUUAUUUUGGAAGCUCUUAAACAACUUUACCAGUGUGAUGCUAUUGACAGUUGAUCCAGAGUACCAGAAGGAAGCAGAACAGAGACAUCGAGAACUGGCAGCUAAAGCUGGAGGAUUUAAUGACUUUGCAACUUUAGCUGUCAUCUUUGAACAAUGCAAAUCAAGUGGAGCUCCAGCUUCAUGGUGCCAAAAGCAUUGGAUUCAUUGGAGGUGCUUAUUUUCUGCAUUUCGUGUGGAAGCUCAACUUCGAGAACUAAUAAGGAAACUUAAACAGCAAAGUGAUUUCCCAAGAGAGACCUUUGAAGGCCCUAAACAUGAAGUACUACGAAGAUGUCUUUGUGCAGGCUAUUUCAAAAAUGUAGCCCGAAGAUCGGUUGGGAGAACGUUUUGCACAAUGGAUGGGCGUGGAAGCCCAGUUCACAUUCAUCCUUCCUCAGCACUUCAUGAACAGGAAACCAAACUUGAAUGGAUCAUUUUUCAUGAGGUGUUAGUUACCACCAAAGUCUACGCAAGAAUUGUGUGUCCAAUUCGUUAUGAGUGGGUAAGAGACUUGUUACCCAAGUUGCACGAAUUUAAUGCACAUGAUUUGAGCAGUGCGGCUCGACGUGAAGUGAGAGAAGAUGCAAGGAAGAGAUGGACAAACAAGGAAAAUGUAAAGCAGCUAAAGGAUGGAAUAUCAAAAGAAGUUCUAAAGAAAAUGCAAAGAAGAAAUGAUGACAAAUCCAUAUCAGAUGCCCGGGCUUGUUUCCUUGACAGAAAGCAGCAGAGGACCUAGGACCACAGUGACACCCUGAAGGAAACAGGCUAAGCGGUGAACUCUCCAAUUCUGAAAGUAGGAAAAGCAGCCAGGGCAUGUGCUUCCAUUUUGCCAGUUAUUUCAGACAUUACCAAGAGGAAGUGGCCAGCAGUUGUUAUUAGCCUAUGGGCCAAAGGCAAAUAUCAGAGUUAAUCAGUACCAAUAAAUGGAAUUUGCAAAGAAAAGAUUAGGUUGCCAUAGUCAUAGGCAGUGAUACAUGAAGCCAAUGAAAGACAAUACAUGUAAUAUUUUCCUCACUUCAAUUCUGCUGGCCUUAACUGGUAUCAAACGCUGUCAUUGAGAUAUUUUCAAAGAAGAUUGAAUUGUAUUUAAUCAGUGUGUACUCCAUUUGCAUUGAAGCAUUAAAAAUUAUUUUCCUUAAAAAAAAAAACUUUUAAAUUAAAAAAAAAUAUCAUCCAUGAAGCAAAAUAUAG